AGUUUAGUCUGCCCAGUGAUGAGGAUUUUAACGGCCGCAGUACUUUGACUGUGCUAAGGUAGCAAAAUAAAUAGGCUUUUAAUUGAGGUCGAGUAUGAAUGGCAUUAUGGGUGGAAACUGUCUCAUUUACUUUUACCAAAGAAUUUAAUAAAUAGGUGAAAAUACCUAUAUAAUAAAUAAUAGACGAGAAGACCCUUAGAGUUUUUAAUAAGUAGCUGGUAGUGCAGUUGAAAUUUUUUAUUGGGGCGAUAAAGUAUCAAUUUAGAAGCAUACUUAACUUAAUUAAAAUUACAAGUCUUUAAUUUAAAUGUGAAUAUAACUACCUGAGGGAUAACAGCAUAAUUUUAUUAAUAAGAUUGUGACCUCGAUGUUGGAUUAGGGACUAAAUGUAUUAGUCAUACGC
Molecule: ribosomal RNA, 403 nt
Filed under: Arion transsylvanus
Lineage: Eukaryota; Metazoa; Mollusca; Gastropoda; Stylommatophora; Arionidae
Description: partial 16S ribosomal RNA
Rfam family: Archaeal large subunit ribosomal RNA (bases 1-169)
Source: RNAcentral